AUUGAACGCUGGCGGCAUGCUUUACACAUGCAAGUCGAACGGCAGCGCGGGCUUCUUCCUGGCGGCGAGUGGCGAACGGGUGAGUAAUUCAUCGGAACGUGCCCAGUAGUGGGGGAUAGCCCGGCGAAAGCCGGCUUAAUACCGCAUACGACCUUAGGGUGAAAGCGGGGGAUCGAAAGGCCUCGCGCUAUUUGAUCGGCCUAUGUCGGAUUAGCUAGUUGGUUGGGUAAAGGCUUACCAAGGCGACGAUCCGUAGCUGCUCUGAGAGGACGACCAGCCACACUGGGACUGAGACACGGCCCAGACUCCUACGGGAGGCAGCAGUAGGGAAUUUUGGACAAUGGGGGCAACCCUGAUCCAGCCAUGCCGCGUGAGGGAAGAAGGCCUUCGGGUUGUAAACCGCUUUUGUUAGGGAAGAAAUCAUGUGGGCUAAUACCUCGGGGGGAUGACGGUACCGGAAGAAUAAGCAACGGCUAACUACGUG
RNAcentral lists this ribosomal RNA (484 nucleotides) under uncultured bacterium. RNAcentral describes it as "partial 16S ribosomal RNA". It matches the Rfam family "Bacterial small subunit ribosomal RNA", at positions 30 to 507 of the family's 1533-position model. The record is from RNAcentral.